This 5145-nucleotide unclassified non-coding RNA is filed under the name Limulus polyphemus (Atlantic horseshoe crab). RNAcentral's name for it is "uncharacterized LOC106467831, transcript variant X2". The record is from RNAcentral. Lineage: Eukaryota; Metazoa; Arthropoda; Merostomata; Xiphosura; Limulidae.
UUGUCUUCUGUGAAAGGCGCGGAUAUCUGAGAGGGGGUAGUGGUGUUCUCAAAAACGUGUGUGAGAAGAUGUUUCAUAGCUUAAUGAAGUUUAAAGUAAUUUAAUAUCGAGUUAUUAAUUACUUAAUUGUGAAUGCUCGGUGGAAUAUAUUUUGUGAGGAUGAAAAACAGAAAAACUGUUCUUCAUUAUAGAAUUAUGCACAUUUCGAAUGAGCUCGGUGUAUUUACUUUUUAAUACUACUGUUAUAUAUGUAUAUACUUGAAUUUCAAAAGAAUAAGUUCUAGUUUUUACUUCUAGUGUAUGCGACAAUGUGUAACUUGUACUGAAGUUGUAGUGAAACAUUCACAUAUUAUUGACCUAAAUAUGUCAAAUUCAAGACAAGAUUGCUAUUGGCAAAAUUUGGUUGAAAUGAACUAUUCUUUACUUCAGCCCGUGGUUAUGCUGGAAAGGUUGCCUGAUGAAGUGAUAGAAUCACAUGUUGAGAGUUAUGAAUAUUCCAAAUGGGCAGCUGGUAAAUUAGUACAUGAUGAAAAAUGCUACCCCUCUUGGAGUUGGUAUGUUGCCGAAAAUAAAUCUACCAAAUGGGACCGAAGUCCAGUACCUCCGGGAAAAGAUCAAUCAUCAUCAGUGGCAGGAAAUUUUAAGUUAACCUCUCUUUAUGAAAAUGCUGAAAAACAAGCAUUGUUCAGAACUACGUGCACGAGUAAAAACAAUGUAAGAUGCUCAAAAUGUGGAGUUUUAUUUUUAAAGACAAAAGCUACUGCCAUGUGUUUGAAUUGCAGACCUAAGGCUCCAGCCAUGGAAAAGAUAAAAAAACAAUGGAAGCAGAUGAGCAUAAAUUCAUAUAAUCUGCCUAAACAAAGAGCUCAUAUGGUAAUUAAUGAUAAAUCAGAAGAAACAAACCUGCAAACUAAUGCCAAAAGAAUAGAACUAAUUAAAUAUCCAAAAAAAAGGAAAUGGCCUGAAGAAAAGCAUUACAAUAAUGAUGAUAAAUGUGGUUUUAAGUCACUGGAAAGCAAAGUGACUAAAAGGAUAAGAAACUGGGAUGGUUCAUUCACUCAUGCAAACAAACUAACACCAAUCAACAAGCAGAAUUCUCAAAGAAUUUCUUGGGAUUCGUCUAGUAAAAUUUUCAAGAAUGAUGAUAUGUUGCCAGUAAAAAAAACUAACAGUAGUUUACAUAACAAAAAGUCAAAUAUAUUAGAAAAUCAUAAUUGGAUUAGGGAUCAAAAAGGUAAUGGAACUAAUAAAUGUCAUUUAUUGGUUGAUAAAAUAAAAACAACUCUCCCUAAAAAAGAAGGUACAUUUAUGAACUUCCAAAAAAGGGCAAUAAUAAAAAAUGAAAAAAGUUAUCAGAAAAUUGUAAACCUUGAUCAUAAAACAAGAAAAGAGAAAGAUGAUGAUUUAUGUAUGCAGACUCUUGAGAGAACUGAUAUUCAUGAAAGAAUAAAAAUCAAUAGUGGUGAGAUUCAACCUAAACAUUCACCAUCACAGCAGAAAGGAUUAAGGACCAAUGAAGUGGAAUGGAAAAAAUACCAAAAGAGUUCACAUUCAGAGAAUUUUAACACUAACAAAAAUAGUUGGAGAAAUGAGGAGGUAUCCUACACUGUUCGUAGUGAUUGUAUUAACGAAGUCAAUCCAAAUUCAAAGAAAGUAAUGGAUGUCGGUUGUUCUCAAGGUAAUAAGAUAGGAGAAUGUUUACAGCCUCGGAACACUGUAAAUGUUGAAACCCAACAAGACAAAAAGCAGGCUUUGGAAAGCUUUAGUUGUAAAAAUAGUAAUCAAAAUGAAGAUUUAAAGCAUAAUGUAAAAAUGAAGGAAAGUGAUAAGAAGGUUGACGAAUGUCGAUCAACAACAACAAAGGUAAUAUUGAAUGUUGACAGAAAUAAAAUAAUGUUUACACAAGCAGUGGGAUCAUGUGAGAAGAGAGGUGUGGAGGUUAAGGAUGUAAGAAAUGGUCUCCUUCUCAUGACAUUUGGUGAUGACGAAGACAUAAUCAGUGAGACAGAAGAACCUUUAGUUAAAUGUCAGAUACCAGAAGAGGGUGUUUGUGGUACUUUUCAAGAAGGUAACACAGAUAUGCAUUAUUAUAAUGAUAAUUUACAACAUUUAGAAGAUCAAGAGCCCAAUUGUGAAGUAAAGAAUAAUUGUGUGAAACUUGGAGACAAAUUUAAACCAGUUUUGCAUUGUGAUAAUAGGAUAAAGAAAAGUUUAACACCUGAAAGCGUGAAGGAUUUCGAAAUGGGCAAAGGAAAUUUAAAGAAAAGUGUUGGAAAGAGGACUGUAAAAGUACCAGAGGUUAAAGAUGACCAUGGUCAUUUACAGCUAAUCAGCCACUCGAGUUCUCAAAACUCCAUUUCUAACCUUAAAGAUCCAAAAAUUAUACAACAUGUGACUUUCCAUGAUGAAACUGAUAAACAGUAUGGUAAAUUUCCUGCUAAUUCAAAAGUAAUGAGCCAAUCAGAAAGUGCAGAAUCCAUCUCUAGUUACGAAAAGUCAGUACCUCUCGUUGAAAAUGUCAAUUUAAAUAAAAAGAAAUUGACAACCUUAAAAGAAGAAAUUGUUAAUUUUUGGAAAGAAGGCUCAACAAUGAUCACUCCUUUAGAUGAACUUGACUGCCUAACUGUAGCAAGCAUUGUAGACUUGGAUUGUGGUCCUGAAAGGGCAAUGAACUUGUUCAGAUUCAAGCUAUUGCAGAAUGUUUGCCUCCUAAAAAAAUUGGCUAUUGCAGAGCAGAAUCGGGAGAUUCCUGCAGAGGUAGUUAAGAAAAAUAAAAACAUGAUAUUAUCAGCAAUUACAAAACUUCUUUUUUCAGUUAGAUUAGUAAGAAUGUCCAAAGAUGAUUCUCAGUCCACACAUCAAGAAAAUGUUCAAAGUAAUUUAAGUUGUAACAGUCAUUAUAGUGAUCAUGUAUCAGUAGGAACAGAGGUUUCUUCUGCAAUAGAUAUUAUUAACAGCCAGCUCUCAAGCAAAGAAUGUGAACUAUCCUUAGAUGAUCAAAAUCAGAAUCAACAGUUGGUAGAAUCUUUGCAUGAAUGUCUUGGGUUUGAAAGUGCAAGGAACCCGUAUAAUUCAGGUAAAAAGUCCAUUGAAUAUGAUUUUGUUCCAUUGUCAUCCAGUGCACAUCAGACAAGCAGUUUUAACUAUGAACAACAGUUACAAAAUAUUAAUAUUGUGCCCACAGAUAAAAAAAACCCAGAAGCAUCUCCAAAAAAUUCUGCUAAACAACAGUUGUUUCAUUUAUCUAGUGGACAAAACAGUUUUGGCACAAGGGUGAAUGAAGUUUCAGAGAAGUGUUCUACGAAUGGACAAGCCUCAAGUCAGACAAAAACAUUGAUGAAGAAGACGACAGAACUUCCUCAAGGUGUAACACAUUCAAAUAUAAAGUUAGGUCAACAACUACAUGACAGUAAUGUGGCUCCUGAACUUACACCAUCAUCAAAAACUAGUGGAAGUCUUUAUGAAAAUCAUUUUGAAUCCAUUUUAAGAAAGCAAAGUGACGAGACAAUUUCAAAGUUGGCACAAGGAGAGCUUUGCUCUAAGCAACCGACAGAAAUGUCUGCACAAAAGAAACAAGAUAUAGAAACUAAUUUGACGCAGGAGCUAAAUCUUAUUAAAAGUUAUUUAGCCCAACAGUUUUUGAAGUCUAUUCAAAAGCCACAUCAGGAUGUAGAGCCUUCAGAAUUAUCACAUCAGAGUUUAGAUACAGAUUUUGUAGGUAUGUCACAUCAGCAUUCGAAGUUAAGUGAAAACCCUCAUAUGAAUCAUUCCCUGACUUGUGAGUCACAAUUACAGCAGCUUGGCAUAGAAAGUCCAAAUCCAAACAUUAUUCAACAGCCAAGACUGAACAGUAAUUCAUGCAAUCAACAACAUGUGAUGUUCUCCAACCAACAGCAUUACAAGGACAGUACUAGUGCCACAUGUUAUAGAUUAGCACCCAAAAGAGUAUUUAGUCAACAUCAGCUCCAGCAAAUAGCUGCCCUGACCUUUACACAAGGACAUAGUUCUAAAGUAACAUCUGAAGAGCCAUCUGAUGUUGGAUCCAGUCAGGUUCACCAGCAAUUAUCAUACCCCAAAAAAGAUCAUGAAUCUCAAUAUGUUCAAGAAUCCAUCACAACCAGUACACAACAACAUUGGGACAAAAAGACAGAGCUUUCACAACAGGAAAGAUCCAUAAAAUGUACUCUUAACCAGGUGUCUGCAACAUCCGUUCCUUCAUAUCCAUUUACUGCACUGCUGCAAAAGAAUUCCCUAAAUAUUGCAAAUUCCACAAUAUCACCAGCUCUUGGUCAUAAACAAAUGUUAUUACCCACCAUUAGAUUGGUCCCUGAUGAAAACAUUCCUUCAUAUUCCAACCUAAGGCCAGUGCUUCAAGUACCUAAUAAACCUUUUUAUCAAAGAAUACUUUCUAAUUCAAGAAACUCUGUGUCUCCGGAGUCAGAACGUACCUCUGUUAGUAGUUGUACAUCAGGAGAUACGUGCAACUCACCAGUUUUAGAAAAUGACUUGCAAAGUAAACAGUGUAUUGAUGAUUUGAAUCCAACAUUAGUAUCUCCCAUCUCUCACAACAUUGGUCAUUGGACAAAAAACAUUGGACAACAGAGUGAACCUGAAUCCAUAACCUAUGAUCUUCAGUUGGGAAGAAUGAAUAUGCCACUGUGUCCUCCAUAUAGCCUUCAACAAAAUUUUCCAGAAUUAACAAAUGUUAUCUGCACUCCAAAGAAUCAGUAUUUCUCAAAAGCAUUUACUUACCAUCAGGUUGGAAGUUCAAAUCCAACAGUACCAAGAAGUGGUUUGGUUCCUUGUGCAACUAGAGUACCAAUGCCCAACAUAACCUCGCCAUCUAGUACAAGUUUCAUGAUUCACUCAGGAAUCAAAGAGAGUUCUCUGCUACCACUGUCCCAGAUGAGGCCAUAAUCUUUAAACUACACAUUCCUGGCAUCAAAGGGCACUGCUGUCAACAAUUUUAGACAAAGUGCAGUAUUACACCAACUCUCAUGGGCAGAACAGGUAUCUUCUAGAUAAUGACAAAGAAACAAAGGCAGUUAGAACAAGAUGAACUUGAUGACUUUCUCAACCAUUGUAUGUUGUGUGGGAAACAAGCUAAAAACGUUUGUUCAGCCUGUUCCAAAGUCUCGUAUUGCG